This is a small nucleolar RNA of Macadamia integrifolia, 109 nucleotides long. Lineage: Eukaryota; Viridiplantae; Streptophyta; Magnoliopsida; Proteales; Proteaceae. The record is from RefSeq and is a predicted model, not a curated record.
AAGCCAUGGUGAGGGUAUUCUUAGAGUAAAUCCUUGAAUCUCUCCAUAAGUUUGGAAAAAGACUCAUUAGGAUUUUGCCUUUUAAUAGAAGGAUAUCACUUCUAAGCUU